RNAcentral lists this long non-coding RNA (324 nucleotides) under Sorghum bicolor (sorghum). RNAcentral describes it as "long non-coding RNA (SBIC_LNC008531)". Lineage: Eukaryota; Viridiplantae; Streptophyta; Magnoliopsida; Poales; Poaceae. The record is from RNAcentral.
UCCUAGAUUUCUAUGGUAUAUGGAAUUUAUGGUUUCCUUUGGUGCAAAUCCAAUCAUCUAGAUUGGAAGAAGCAAUUCCCCCAUUGGUAACAAAUGGUUAUCCAUUAAGCGGAGGAAAUAGUAAUAAAAAGAAAAAGGCUUAUGCUCCUUUAUCUUAAAAGAACAGACUAAAGGGUCAGCUACUUAGCCAACUUUCAUAAUUAAAUACCGUCACUGUAUGAAUAAUUCUUAUUGUGAAAAGAGUUAUUUACUCUAUAAUGGAUUGGUAGAGCCAAAGAAUGUGAACUAUACAAGUUCACAAUACCUUUUGAUGAAAUGAAAGAA